CCAACAGGGAUUGCCUCAGUAACGGCGAGUGAAGCGGCAACAGCUCAAAUUUGAAAUCUGGCCCCAGGCCCGAGUUGUAAUUUGCAGAGGAUGCUUCUGGUUAGGUGCCUUCCAAGUCCCCUGGAACGGGGCGCCGAAGAGGGUGAGAGCCCCGUCCGGUCGGCCACCAAGCCUGUGUGAAGCUCCUUCGACGAGUCGAGUAGUUUGGGAAUGCUGCUCUAAACGGGAGGUAGACCCCUUCUAAAGCUAAAUACCGGCCAGAGACCGAUAGCGCACAAGUAGAGUGAUCGAAAGAUGAAAAGCACUUUGAAAAGAGGGUUAAAAAGUACGUGAAAUUGUUGAAAGGGAAGCGCUUGUGACCAGACGUGUGCCGGGGUGUUCAGCGGGCGUUCUCGCCCGUGCACUCGCCCCGGUACAGGCCAGCGUCGGUUCGCGCGGGGGGACAAAGGCGCUGGGAACGUGGCUCCUCCGGGAGUGUUAUAGCCCAGCGUGCCAUGCCCCCGCGCGGACCGAGGUUCGCGCUCCGCAAGGACGCUGGCGUAAUGGUCUCCAGCGGCCCGUCUUGAAACACGGACCAAGGAGUCGAGGUUUUGCGCGAGUGUUUGGGUGUCAAACCCGCACGCGUAAUGAAAGUGAACGCAGGUGGGAGCUUCGGCGCACCACCGACCGAUCCUGAUGUUCUCGGAUGGAUUUGAGUAGGAGCGUAGGGCCUCGGACCCGAAAGAUGGUGAACUAUACGUGGAUAGGGUGAAGCCAGAGGAAACUCUGGUGGAGGCUCGCAGCGGUUCUGACGUGCAAAUCGAUCGUCAAAUCUGCGUAUGGGGGCGAAAGACUAAUCGAACCAU
RNAcentral lists this ribosomal RNA (845 nucleotides) under Codinaeella minuta. RNAcentral describes it as "partial large subunit ribosomal RNA". It matches the Rfam family "Eukaryotic large subunit ribosomal RNA", at positions 65 to 943 of the family's 3401-position model. The record is from RNAcentral. Lineage: Eukaryota; Fungi; Ascomycota; Sordariomycetes; Chaetosphaeriales; Chaetosphaeriaceae.